CCUACGGUGGGCAGCAGUGGGGAAUAUUGCACAAUGGGGGAAACCCUGAUGCAGCGACGCCGCGUGAGCGAUGAAGUAUUUCGGUAUGUAAAGCUCUAUUGGCAGGGACGAAGAAGACGGUACCUGACUAAGAAGCCGCGGCUAACUACGUGCCAGCAGCCGCGGGAAUACGUAGGUGGCAAGCGUUAUUCGGAUUUACUGGGGGUAACGGGAGCGUAGACGGCGAGGCAAGCCAGAUGUGAAAGCCCGGGGCUCAACCCCGGGACUGCAUUUGGAACUGUGUGGCUGGAGUGUUGGAGAGGCAGGCGGAAUUCCUAGUGUAGCGGUGAAAUGCGUAGAUAUUAGGAGGAACACCAGUGGCGAAGGCGGACUGCUGGACGAUGACUGACGUUGAGGCGCGAAAGCGUGGGGAGCAAACAGGAUUAGAUACCCCAGUAGUC
RNAcentral lists this ribosomal RNA (440 nucleotides) under uncultured bacterium. RNAcentral describes it as "partial 16S ribosomal RNA". It matches the Rfam family "Bacterial small subunit ribosomal RNA", at positions 338 to 795 of the family's 1533-position model. The record is from RNAcentral.